ACCUCUUCUGAGACGGGGAACCGAGCUGGUCUUUCCUUGUUGAUAAGUCCACAAACAGCGUCUAUCAACAGGCCAAGAUCAGCUCUGGUCUCGUUUGGAAAC
RNAcentral lists this microRNA precursor (102 nucleotides) under Caenorhabditis brenneri. RNAcentral describes it as "pre miRNA CBN34051". The stretch from base 24 to 86 matches the Rfam family "mir-35_2 microRNA precursor family". Lineage: Eukaryota; Metazoa; Nematoda; Chromadorea; Rhabditida; Rhabditidae. The record is from RNAcentral.